AAGGCUAUUCUUUCAGGGAUCAUUUCUGUAGUUCCUUUCUAGAGAAGUUUCUCUAACUAUGUAGAGUACCAGAAAUCAGAGACAUAGCAUUCUCUCCUGAGCAUGAAAGCUGGCUGUUGGUGUUGCUUUGCUGCAACUGCCAUUUACCAUUGAUGACUGUUCUCUCUUUCCAGAGAGUAGUGGGAGAGGAUGCAGCCUGAGUGGU
This is a small nucleolar RNA of Nannospalax galili (Upper Galilee mountains blind mole rat), 205 nucleotides long. Its record names the gene U3. It matches the Rfam family "Small nucleolar RNA U3". Rfam says of the family: Small nucleolar RNAs (snoRNAs) are involved in the processing and modification of rRNA in the nucleolus. There are two main classes of snoRNAs: the box C/D class, and the box H/ACA class. The record is from Ensembl. NCBI's taxonomy places the organism in Eukaryota, Metazoa, Chordata, Mammalia, Rodentia, Spalacidae.